UUCGCAAUGCCCGAAAGGGUGCCGAAGCGACGCCGCGUGCGGGAAGAAGGCCUUCGGGUUGUAAACCGCUGUCGGGAGUUAGGAAGUGCAAGGAUGUUAAUAGCGUUCUUGCUUGACUAAGGCUCCGGAGGAAGCCACGGCUAACUCUGUGCCAGCAGCCGCGGUAAUACAGAGGCGGCAAGCGUUGUUCGGAAUUAUUGGGCGUAAAGAGCACGUAGGCGGCUGUGUAAGUCGGUUGUGAAAGCCUUCCGCUUAACGGAAGAACGGCAUCCGAUACUGCAUAGCUUGAGUGCGGGAGGGGAGAGUGGAACUUCUGGUGGAGCGGAGAAAUGCGUAGAUAUCAGAAGGAACACCGGCGGAGAAGGCAACUCUGUAUUUUAUUUGUGAUUCUGAGUGUGCGCAAGCUGGGGGAACAAACGGGAUUAGAUCCCCCGGUAGUCCUAGCCUCAAACGGUGGGCACUAAGUAGAGGGGUUUU
Molecule: ribosomal RNA, 477 nt
Filed under: uncultured bacterium
Lineage: Bacteria
Description: bacterial SSU rRNA
Rfam family: Bacterial small subunit ribosomal RNA
Source: RNAcentral